AUUCCAGCUCCAAUAGCGUAUAUUCAAGUUGUUGCAGUUAAAAAGCUCGUAGUUGAAUUUUGGAUUCGGUGCACUGGUACAUCCUCGCGGAUGUCACUUGUGGACUGUUUCUUUCCUCAUGGCAAACUCUUGUGCUAUUAGUUUAGUGCGAUUGGGAACCAUGACUGUUACUUUGAAAAAAUUAGAGUGUUUAAAACAGGCGUUUGCCUGAAUAGAUUAGCAUGGAAUAACGGAAUAGGACCCUGUUUCUAUUUUUGUUGGUUUUAGAAAUAGAGUAAUGAUUAAUAGGGACAGUUGGGGGCAUUAGUAUUCCAUUGUCAGAGGUGAAAUUCUUGGAUUUAUGAAAGACUAACUUCUGCGAAAGCAUCUGCCAAGGAUGUUUUCAUCG
This 388-nucleotide ribosomal RNA is filed under the name Chytridium sp. RNAcentral's name for it is "partial small subunit ribosomal RNA". It matches the Rfam family "Eukaryotic small subunit ribosomal RNA", at positions 582 to 975 of the family's 1831-position model. Lineage: Eukaryota; Fungi; Chytridiomycota; Chytridiomycetes; Chytridiales; Chytridiaceae. The record is from RNAcentral.